UUGCUUCCAUGUUCUGAUUCUGUGUGUGAAGAUGAAGACACAGAGAAUGAUGCUGAUUCAUAAUAAUAUUACAAUUUUUACAUGAUGUGUACUUGUCUGAUCCUAAGCUGAAUCCGUGUUCUAAGCCUGCACCUAGGGCCUCAUCAAUUGAUCCUAGAAAAUUGACAGAGUAAGGGAAAACUUGAGCUUGAUUUACCAAUGGUUCUGCACCAUACUCAAGGCACUACCUGCGAGUGGGCAGCUGAAGCACCACAGCCUCUCUCUAGGACAUCCCUGAUAGAUGGUGAUGAAGGUAAGUCCUUCCAAUGUAAAUAAUUUGGGGUACUGAACCUGGUUAUGUGCUUUGCUUGGAAAGAGAAAAGACUAGAUGAGCAAUUAUAUACCAACUUCUGGGCUGUCAUCAAUGGUUUGGUUGGAUGGUCAGAGGUUUGAAAGCGCAUGAUUUCCCUAUUGCUAACAAAGAAAUCUGGGGAUGAGGUAUGUGGAUAGACCAUUCUGAAUGGGGAAAAAAGUGAAGAUAUUUGUAUUCUGUGUGAAUUCCCAAAAAGAGAGACCACAGAAGAGGAGGAUUUUAAUAAUUAAGUAGAUAGAAUGAUCUUUUCUGUGGAACCCAGCCAUCCUAUUUCUCCAGCCACUUCUGUCAUUGCAUAAUGGACUCAUGAAUAACAUGGCCAAGGUGACAGGGGUAGAAGUUAUGAAUGUGCUCAGCAAUGUGGAAUUUCACCCCACAAGGCAGACUAGGCUAUGGCCUCCACUGAGUGCCCAAUAUGGGAGUAGCAGGGAGCAACACUGUGCCCCCAGUACGGCACCGCUUUCCAGGGUGAUCAUCCAGCUACCUGUUGGCAAGUUGGUUACAUUAGAUCACUUCUAACAUAAGAGAGACAUUGCUUUAUCCUAACUGGAAUAGACACUGACUCUGUAUAAGAAUUUACCUUUCCUGCAUGAAAUGCUUCUGUUAAAACUCCCAUCCAUGGACUUACAGUAUGCUUUAUCCAUUGUCAUAGUAUUACACACUGUUGCUUUUAAACAAGGAAAUCAUUUCACAACUAAAAAAGUGUGACAGUGGACUGAUACUUAUGGAAUUCACUAGUUUUACCAUGUUUCACACUAUCCUAAAGCAGCUGCCUUGAUAGAAUGUGGAUUUGCCUUUUGAAGACUCUGUUACAGCACCAGAGUAAAUACGUCAAGAAGAGAGUUACAGAAUUGGCAGAGAUGACUGAUAUGGACUACCAAUGGAAAACUAGAAUACCACUCUACAAUGGAAGUAAGUAAGAGUAUGUCCAGAAUACAGGAGCUCAUUUAGGUCUUGUCUUAAUAUUACCAUGUCCUGUGACUAAUGUCAAUGGCGAGCUCUAACAACCCAAUCUGGGGAAGACAAAUAAAGGUGCAGACCUUUCAAGAAUAAAAGUUGUGAUUACCACACCAGCUAAAGAAAGAACUAUAAGCAGCUAAGUAUCUUGCUGAAGGCAAAUGUAAUACAGAAUGAGUGGGAGAAGGUAAUUAUGAACACUAGCUAUGACCACAUGACCAGUUAUAGAACAGAAAACUGUAACUGUCAUGAGUAUUUCCUUCUUAUGUUAUAAAUAAAUGUGUAUUUAUAUACAUGUAUUAAUUAUUUAUCUUUGUUUUCUUUCUUCUCUUGUUUCCUUAUCAUGUAACAUAAGAUGCGUUAUUUUAAAUACGUUUUUAAGAGUUUUAGUUUUACAUCAUAUUAAGUUGCAGGGCAUCAGAUGAAGACUGAACAUCACUUAAAGACGACUUUUCCUGAAGAUGGUAGUGGUGUAUUUUCAGUUGUAUACAGGUUAGUUACAUCAUAUUAGGCAGAAUCAUUAGCUUCUCCUUGUCUUUAUUUGUAGAUUAUCAUUUAAGGAAAUGCAUAUGAGUAUCAAGUUGAAAAGGGAUGGCCUGGUGAUGGUUAAUUGUAGGUGUAAACUUGACUGGACAAAGUGAUGCCCAAAAGCUGAUAAAACAUUUUUUUCUCUGUGUUUCUGAAAAUGAUUAGCAUUGAAUCAGGAGACUAAGUAAAAACAGUCCACCUUCACCAAUGUGGGCAGGCAUUAUGCCAUCUGUUAAAGGCCCAAAUAUAACAAAAACUCAGAGCAAAUUUCCUCUUCGCUUUUCUUGACCUGUAACAUCCACCUUAUUCCCUUAAAUAUCAGAGGUGCUGAUUCUUCAGCCUGUGGAUUCUAAGACUUACAACCCUACCCCCAGUUCUCAGGCCUGUGGCCUCAGAUUGGAUGACACUAUUGUCACUCUUGUUCCUCAGGUCAUUGGGAUUGAAUUACACCAAUGGCUUUCCUGGUUCUCCAGUUGGCAGACAGCAUGUUAUGAAAUAUUUUGGCCUCUAUAAUUAUGUGAGCCAAUUCCUACGAUAAAUUUUCUCU
Non-coding RNA from Chlorocebus sabaeus (green monkey), 2384 nucleotides. The record is from RefSeq and is a predicted model, not a curated record. Lineage: Eukaryota; Metazoa; Chordata; Mammalia; Primates; Cercopithecidae.